CGCCCAUGUCUCCCCCAGUUGCAAAACUAAUGGAAACUUUGUUAAUGUCAUUAAUCUGCCGUCCAGGACAUGGACCAAACAUGUUUAACCUUCCCGGGGUAGGCCGCCGCCACCAAAGCUGCAGCAAGCGUCCGCACACGAUCAAUGGUAAAGUGCGGGGGUGGCAAGGCGGGGGGCGCCAAAGAUGGAUACUAUGGACAGGUUAACCUAUCGACUGCUCAACAGUGACACAGGGAUGGAGACAAAGCUCAGACAUCGCCAAUCGUCAUUGUCUGAAUGUAAAUGGAAAAAUGUGUGCCACCCCGUGCAAGAUCCACGUUCGGAGCCCCGGCUCGACGUCGCUGAACGACACGCUUGAUUUUGCGCCCGGCACGAAGGUGCACA
Syngnathoides biaculeatus (alligator pipefish) is the source of this 384-nucleotide long non-coding RNA. RefSeq lists it as uncharacterized. The transcript is spliced from 3 exons. The record is from RefSeq and is a predicted model, not a curated record. Lineage: Eukaryota; Metazoa; Chordata; Actinopteri; Syngnathiformes; Syngnathidae.